RNAcentral lists this ribosomal RNA (519 nucleotides) under Epilachna praecipua. RNAcentral describes it as "partial 16S ribosomal RNA". The stretch from base 381 to 519 matches the Rfam family "Archaeal large subunit ribosomal RNA", at positions 2542 to 2681 of the family's 2987-position model. Lineage: Eukaryota; Metazoa; Arthropoda; Insecta; Coleoptera; Coccinellidae. The record is from RNAcentral.
CUCUUUUUGAAUAUAAUUUAAAGUUGGGCCUGCCCACUGAUAAUUUAAAGGGCCGCAGUAUUUUGACUGUGCAAAGGUAGCAUAAUCAUUAGUUUUUUAAUUGAAAGCUUGUAUGAAUGGUUUGAUGAGAAAAUUACUAUUUCAAUUUAAAUUUAAAUAAUUUUAUUUUUAAGUUAAAAAGCUUAAAUUACAUUUAAAGACGAGAAGACCCUAUAGAGUUUUACUAAUAUAAAAAUUUUUAUUUAAAGUAUUUUUUUAUGAAGAUUUUGUUAAAGUUUUGUUGGGGUGAUAAAAAAAUUUAAUUAACUUUUUUUUUAUAAAAACUUAAGUAGUAGGAUUUUUGAUCCAUAAUAAUGAUUAUAAGAUUAAAUUACCUUAGGGAUAACAGCGUAAUUUUUUUUGAUAGUACUUAUUGAAAAAGAAGAUUGCGACCUCGAUGUUGGAUUAAAAUUAAUUUUAGGUGAAGAAGCUUGAAAAUUAGGUCUGUUCGACCUUUGAAAUUUUACAUGAUCUGAGUUU